CAGCAGUAGCCGCGGCAAUACAGAGGGUGCGAGCGUUAAUCGGAUUUACUGGGCGUAAAGCGUGCGUAGGCGGCUUUUUAAGUCGGAUGUGAAAUCCCUGAGCUUAACUUAGGAAUUGCAUUCGAUACUGGGAAGCUAGAGUAUGGGAGAGGAUGGUAGAAUUCCAGGUGUAGCGGUGAAAUGCGUAGAGAUCUGGAGGAAUACCGAUGGCGAAGGCAGCCAUCUGGCCUAAUACUGACGCUGAGGUACGAAAGCAUGGGGAGCAAACAGGAUUAGAUACCCCCGUAGUCCCUGUCUCUUAUAC
Molecule: ribosomal RNA, 304 nt
Filed under: uncultured bacterium
Lineage: Bacteria
Description: partial 16S ribosomal RNA
Rfam family: Bacterial small subunit ribosomal RNA
Source: RNAcentral